Long non-coding RNA from Prunus persica (peach), 3633 nucleotides. RefSeq lists it as uncharacterized. The transcript is spliced from 2 exons. Lineage: Eukaryota; Viridiplantae; Streptophyta; Magnoliopsida; Rosales; Rosaceae. The record is from RefSeq and is a predicted model, not a curated record.
UGGUAAUUAAUAAAUGGUCUUCUUUCCCUCUCUAUCGUAUCUUUAUGGCCUAGAUCAUAUAUUUGACAAUUUAGCAAGAUAAUGGAAUGUUUAGGCUUAAAUUUUUUGGAUUCUAUUGAAAAAAAAAUUUGAAUGUAGAAUAUUUGUAUUUUGAUUAGCAUUUUUUCCACUUUUCAAUUGCAUGUGAAAUGAGAUUAUCUUAUAAAUGAGACCCUGUGACUCUUACUCAUCUUAUAAUUUUUCCUUACUAUGUGCCAAAUAGUGUGUCUAAUAAUCUUUUUUGGUGAUUGUGAUUAUAUUGACUCGAUGCUAGAUUAUUAAUUGCUCAGUCAAAGGGAGGAAAAAGCUUCAGUGAAAAAAUGAAUUGAAUUUGUAGUAAACAUGGAAAAUGUGUAAUUAACUUAUUAGCACUAGGCAAAAGAUAGGCAGAAUUUUUUAUUUAUAACAUAUGUAAAUAAAAUGCAUAACCUUUUCUUGAUUUUCCUAUAGCUUUGAAUUAAUGAUUCAAGCUUUUCUGUGAAGCAAAAUUGUGUUGGGUGGUUCCUCCGUGCAUCUACAUUACUAUUUAUUGGGACCUUUUGCUCUUUUGGUUGAGGGAACGAUGCAAAGGUUUCAUGAGAUUGUAGAGUUUUGACCUUUUUUUUGGGUGGUCUAGUUGGAGAGAAAUAGCAGCAUCUGUGAAGGUAAAAAGUAGGGAGGGGGUGGAUUUUUUUUUUAUGGAAUAUGAUUAGAUUUUAGGCAUCCUUGUAGGUGUCACAUAUUGAGGAUUUGAAAGAUUGUCCUUCUUGCUGAAUGGGAAUGGGAUACAGCAGUUUUUAAGGUUAUUUUUCUGUUUUCUUUCUAUAAAAAUAAGUUAGAACUGUCUAAGAUGCAACAGCAAGGUGUUGUUUGCGAAGACAUAAUGCCAUUACCAUGUAGUAUCAAAACACCUUAGGCAUUACCAAUGCGGGAUUACCACAGUGGUUGUGGCCCUCCCCUUCCCCCCUGCUUGGCACCCAGGAUCGAAACCUAAGGGUUUCUUUCCUCCCCAUGUAACCAAAAAAAAAAAAAACACACCUUAGGCAUUUAAAGCCCUAUAGCAAUAAUGCUAUAAAUUUUCGGAGUGAGAAGGGUAAGAAUUAGCUAAAGGCUCUGUUUCGUUAGAUUUGUGUUUGCUUGAAUGGUUGAAAUUAGUUGAUUUGGAUAAAGUUUGUUGGUUUACCAUCAUUCCCAAACACUUAGGCUAUUUUGAUAUGGGCAGACAAUUAUUUCAUAUUCUAAACACCUUCUCCUCCAUUAGAGCCCAACAUGUGCAGUUCAACUUAAUAUUGUGACGUUGUAUUUUCAGGAAUCAAACUUAGGAUCCCCUAUAUUGACUAAUUAGUUCUUAAAAUUACAAUAAACCCAACUUCUUCUGACAAAAUUGCAAUUAAUCAUUACGUUGACUUUAGGAUACGUGUGUCGAUUGAUACGGAUAUCCAAAAGUCAAAUGGAUACGGAUUUGAAUUAUCGGACACAUAUCCAAGAAGUAUCGAGGGAGUAUUUGAGUAUCCAAUACAGACGUGUGGAUUUUUGGAGUAUCGGAGAAACGAAGGUGAUCUCCAAAAGGUAAAUAUGGAAGUUGGGUGGCUCCAGCGAAGAUUGGAUGAGAUCCUUAAGGCAAACUGGAGAAAGGAAAAUACACUACCAAUGAGAGAAGUUGUGGAACAGGAGUUUAGGUGUUUUAGAAAUUCCAUUGUGAGUAAUGCAUACUAGUGAUCUCUCUCUCUCAGGUUACCUAUAGCCCAACAUAACUGAUGCAGGACGCAUAGGACCUAAAUUUAUUAGUUUCCUAAUAUAUUUGUUAGUUUCCUAGAUUCUCUAGUUUUCCAAAUUCUAGUAGGAUUUCUACUUUUCCAGAUUUCCAGAUUUCUAGUUUUAAGUUUCCUAUUCUAUUUGGGUUAGGAUUUCUGUUUAAGCAAAGGAUUUUUAUCCUAUUAUGUCUAGGUUUUAGUUUACUAUAAAUACCCCAAUGUAGUUCUUUAAAAUUCAGAUUUGGAUGAGUAAACCUUCUCUUAAAACUAUAUGAUUUCUGUUCUUCCUUCUCGGUUCUCUGAUUUCGGUCAUUUCUUUCAUCCCUUCGAUCUAUAUUUUCGUCUCCUCAACCUCCUAUAUUCUUCUAUGUUAUAUUGUUUAAGUGUUUACUCUAAACCUACGGGUUGUUCUACAUCAAUUGGUAAUCAGAGCCUUCCUCACUUUCAUUUGCGUUUGAUCUCUGCCAUGGCACCCCAAACCGUGGCCAGCCUUGCGGAACAAUAUCAUGCGUUCCAAGACAAAGUUUCUGCCGAUAUUGCGGGCAUGGAAACCCAACUCUCAAACCUCAGCAGUGACCUCAAAGAAGAGUUGGUGCAGGCUCACAAACAUCGUGCAACAACAGACCUUGCCAUCAACAAACUCCAAGACUCCGUUCAGAUGCUUAUCAAUCACUUUCGGUUUGGAACGACUGAGCCUUCUUCUACCUCAGCGGUGCUCUCGAGUUCAUCUAUGCCGCCGCCAGAAGGUGGCCUUCUUCCCAAUCCACCGAUUGGUUCUCCUCUAGUUGACGAUAACAUUCCCGUCCCUACCCCGCCACCCCGACCACACAAGAACAACUUCAUGCACCGACAUUUUGAUUUUGAGAUAGCUUGACAUGCCACGCUAGGUGUUUUUCCUGCACCAAGGCACUCUGGCGACGACUUAUGAACACCAUGGAUUGAGGGUCUAUCACACCCACACAUGCACUUGCAUUCGUCGGCCAAUCAUGUUCGUCAUGGGUCUAGGCAGAGCUCUCUAUUUGCCAUUCUUACAAGAACUAAUGUUCCAGGCUUGCGGAACGGCUGGUUUCAAGGUGGCAAAUAUGAUGCCGAUUUUGAAGAACUAAAGAACGCCACACGCCUCUUCACACUUCCUUGGGAUUUUGAUUUUGUCGUUGUUUACUCGUCGGAGUCCGAGUUCUUUUCGGCGGAGGAGAAUGAUGCAGGACGCAUAGGACCUAAAUUCAUUAGUUUCCUAGAUUCUCUAGUUUUCCAAAUUCUAGUAGGAUUUCUAUUUUUCCACAUUUCUAGUUUUAAGUUUCCUAUUUUAUUUGGGUUAGGAUUUCUGUUUAAGCAAGGGAUUUUUAUCCUAUUAUGUCUAGGUUUUAGUUUGCUAUAAAUAUCCCCAUGUAGUUCUUUAAAAUUCAGAUUUGGAUAUUGAGUAAACCUUCUCUUAAAACUAUGUGAUUUCUGUUCUUCCUUCUCGGUUCUCUGAUUUUGGUCCUUUCUUUCGUCCCUUCGAUCUAUAUUUUCAUUUCCUCUCUCUCUCACAUAUUCUUCUAUGUUCUAUUGUUUGAGUGCUUAAUCUAACACCUACGGGCUGUACUACAUCAAUAACCUUUCAAAAGAACCCUUGAGACGUUAAGUCUGCCAGGAUAAUACCUGGAUUAUCCCACAAGCUGAUGCAGAAUGAUUAGGGUUAUUCUAAUUUUUUUUCCCCUUUUUCUUAGUUUCUUGUUUCUAGUAAGAUGAACUUUACUUUCCUGUUAUGACAGCAGUGUCUGUCACUUUUGGUCAGAGGCUGGAAUUUUUUAUUAAUUCUUUGUAAUCGUAUGAGUGCUCAAUAAAAAUAGGAAAAAACAAUAAACAAAAAAAAAAAAAA